RNAcentral lists this ribosomal RNA (1232 nucleotides) under metagenome. Its description in RNAcentral is "bacterial LSU rRNA". It matches the Rfam family "Bacterial large subunit ribosomal RNA", at positions 1564 to 2808 of the family's 2925-position model. The record is from RNAcentral.
UGAGUACGAGAUGCUACGGCAUCGAAGCAGUCUAUGUCAUACUUCCAAGAAAAGCUUGCACUGUCAUAAACAAAGAAUGCCUGUACCAUAACCGACACAGGUGGGUAGGUAGAGUAUACUAAGGGGCGCGAGAUAACUCUCUCUAAGGAACUCGGCAAAAUGACUCCGUAACUUCGGGAGAAGGAGUGCCUUAUUUCUAAGGUUGCAAUAACAAGAUCCAAGCAACUGUUUACCAAAAACACAGGUCUCCGCUAAGUCGUAAGACGAUGUAUGGGGGCUGACGCCUGCCCAGUGCCAGAAGGUUAAAGAAGUUGGUUAGCAUUAGCGAAGCUGAUAACUGAAGCCCUGGUGAACGGCGGCCGUAACUAUAACGGUCCUAAGGUAGCGAAAUUCCUUGUCGGGUAAGUUCCGACCCGCACGAAAGGCGUAAUGAUUUGGAUACUGUCUCGGAGAGGGGCUCGGUGAAAUAGACUUGUCUGUGAAGAUGCGGACUACCUGCACCUGGACAGAAAGACCCUAUGAAGCUUUACUGUAACUUGAGAUUGAAAUUGGACUUUAUUUGCGCAGUAUAGGUGGGAGGCGCCGAGAAUAAUCUUGCGGGAUUGUUGGAGCCAUCAGUGAGAUACCACUCUUGUAAUGUUAGAUUUCUAACUUUGUAUCAUUAUCUGGUCAAAGAACAGUUUCAGGCGGGCAGUUUGACUGGGGCGGUCGCCUCCCAAACGGUAACGGAGGCGCACAAAGGUUUCCUCUGAACGGGUAGAAAUCGUAUCUAGAGUGUAAAGGCAUAAGGAAGCUUGACUGUGAGACCUACAAGUCGAGCAGGGACGAAAGUCGGUCUUAGUGAUCUGACGGUGCUGAGUGGAAAGGCCGUCACUCAACGGAUAAAAGUUACUCUAGGAUAACAGGCUGAUCUCCCCCAAGAGUUCACAUCGACGGGGAGGUUUGGCACCUCGAUGUCGGCUCAUCGCAUCCUGGGGCGGUAGUACGUCCCAAGGGUUGGGCUGUUCGCCCAUGAAAGCGGUACGCGAGCUGGGUUCAACGUCGUGAGACAGUUCGGUCCAUAUCCGGUGUAGGCGUUAGAAUAUUGAGAGGAGCCUUCUCUAGUACGAGAGGACCGAGAAGGACAUACCUCUGGUGUACCAGUUAUCGUGCCAACGGUAAACGCUGGGUAGCUAUGUAUGGAGUGGAUAACCGCUGAAAGCAUCUAAGUGGGAAGCCCACCUCAAGAUAAG